Sorex araneus (European shrew) is the source of this 395-nucleotide long non-coding RNA. RefSeq lists it as uncharacterized. The transcript is spliced from 3 exons. NCBI's taxonomy places the organism in Eukaryota, Metazoa, Chordata, Mammalia, Eulipotyphla, Soricidae. The record is from RefSeq and is a predicted model, not a curated record.
AUGUUCCAAGUGGCAACAUAUGAAGACACUGAGAUCACCACCCUCCAUGGACUCACUAAAGCAGACGUUCACCAUCCAGUCACUGUGUGAAACUGUGGGAAGAGGAAUUCCAAAAGCAAUGGGAACUCUUGCAAAACAAACAAAGGAAAAAACCUCCAAGAUUUAAUGUCAGAGAUACCUGGCAGUGUCUCGGAAACUACUCCCACUUGGUGCUCAGAGAUUGCUCCUGGCAGGAAAUGGAAUCUGGGUCUCCAGCAUGCAAAGAAUCAUCUCCAGCCCCAUAACAAUGACUUUUAGAUAACACUAAAGGUGCGAUCUAUGGAAGAAAUUAUCGACAAGUUGGAUCUCAUUAAAAUUUCAAAGCAUCUGCUCUGUGGGAAACAAUGUCAAAAGAA